Molecule: ribosomal RNA, 253 nt
Filed under: uncultured bacterium
Lineage: Bacteria
Description: partial 16S ribosomal RNA
Rfam family: Bacterial small subunit ribosomal RNA
Source: RNAcentral
UACGUAGGGGGCAAGCGUUGCCCGGAUUUAUUGGGCGUAAAGAGCGUGUAGGCGGCUGGGUAGGUCCGCUGUGAAAACUCGAGGCUUAACCUCGAGACGUCGGUGGAAACCCUCCAGCUAGAGUCCGGAAGAGGAGAGUGGAAUUCCUGGUGUAGCGGUGAAAUGCGCAGAUAUCAGGAAGAACACCCGUGGCGAAAGCGGCUCUCUGGGACGGUACUGACGCUGAGACGCGAAAGCGUGGGGAGCGAACAGG